AUGUGACCCUUCCAGUCGGUGGUUCGGUUAGAUGCUAAGAUGAAGAUGUGAGCAAACGCUCCAGGAUACCCAAGCUU
Sinocyclocheilus anshuiensis is the source of this 77-nucleotide long non-coding RNA. RefSeq lists it as uncharacterized. The record is from RefSeq and is a predicted model, not a curated record. Lineage: Eukaryota; Metazoa; Chordata; Actinopteri; Cypriniformes; Cyprinidae. The transcript has 3 exons.